RNAcentral lists this transfer RNA (85 nucleotides) under Caudoviricetes sp. RNAcentral describes it as "tRNA-Ser". It matches the Rfam family "tRNA". From Rfam's summary of the family: Transfer RNA (tRNA) molecules are approximately 80 nucleotides in length. Their secondary structure includes four short double-helical elements and three loops (D, anti-codon, and T loops). Further hydrogen bonds mediate the characteristic L-shaped molecular structure. tRNAs have two regions of fundamental functional importance: the anti-codon, which is responsible for specific mRNA codon recognition, and the 3' end, to which the tRNAs corresponding amino acid is attached (by aminoacyl-tRNA synthetases). tRNAs cope with the degeneracy of the genetic code in two manners: having more than one tRNA (with a specific anti-codon) for a particular amino acid; and 'wobble' base-pairing, i.e. permitting non-standard base-pairing at the 3rd anti-codon position. Lineage: Duplodnaviria; Heunggongvirae; Uroviricota; Caudoviricetes. The record is from RNAcentral.
GGAAAAGUGGUCGAGUGGUUGAUGGCAUCGGUCUUGAAAACCGACGAUGUGAGAGCAUCCGUGGGUUCGAAUCCCACCUUUUCCG